This is a long non-coding RNA of Homo sapiens (human), 527 nucleotides long. RefSeq lists it as uncharacterized. NCBI's taxonomy places the organism in Eukaryota, Metazoa, Chordata, Mammalia, Primates, Hominidae. The transcript is spliced from 2 exons. The record is from RefSeq and is a predicted model, not a curated record.
CCAGCAGCACCAUGCCACCCACCCCGAGUAUCCCCUGGGCACCCUGGCAUAGCCAGAUGACUUCCGUGCCCCUGUUGCAAUAACCACUGCUUCCAAGUCUCUGUAGACCACCCCUUGGGUAUAUCUCAUGUUACCAUGCCAGCAAUGAUUCCUUUUGAGUUUCUGACAGAAGAUAGUGGUUUUCAUCCAAAUAAGUCAACUACUCUACCCCAUCCCUAAGCCACUUGUAUGGAAAGAAAAAGAGGAAGAAGCCAGUACUGUGACUGCGUAAGCUUCCCCCAGCAUCACCGGCUAUGAGAUGUGUGGCAGCUGAGACCCGGGAACUGCUCAAGGGCACCAGGCCCCAUCUGUCUGCACUCACUCACCUUCCUCAGGUACUCGCAUGGGCAUGUCACUGACUUUACAUGCUGCUGCAGCUCCUUGGUGAGCUGGCCCUGGUCAUGGGACAGGAACUGUGGGGUCAGGACAAUAGAGAGCUUCACCAUUUGCAGAAUGAGAACAGGGGCUCAUGAUGAGUGCCAACCUAU